RNAcentral lists this long non-coding RNA (1426 nucleotides) under Oryctolagus cuniculus (rabbit). RNAcentral describes it as "lncRNA (ENSOCUG00000033634.1)". The record is from RNAcentral. Lineage: Eukaryota; Metazoa; Chordata; Mammalia; Lagomorpha; Leporidae.
AAUAAAGCUUAAAAAAUGUACUUGAAAAGCAGUUAGAGAGAGAAGGAGAGAGACUGAGAGAGAUCUUCCCUCCAAUGGUUCACUCCCUGAAUGGCCACAAUGGCCCAGGCUGGGCCAGGUCAAAGCCAGGAGCUUCUUCCAGGUCUCACACAUGGGUGCAGGGGCCCAAACACUUGAGCCAUCUUCUACUGCUUUCCCAGGCCAUAGCAGAGAGCUGAAUCGGAAGUGGAGCGGCCGAGACUUGAACCGGCACCCGUGUGGGAUGCUUGCAUUGUUGGCAGUGGCUUAACUCGCAGGAAAAUCUUGAAGACAGCUCUCAGCCUAGCAGGGAAGGCACUGGGUCCCAAAUCAGAGCGCACACACAGCUCAGACUCCAGACUCCAGCUUCCUGCUAAUGCGGACCUGGGAAGCAGCAGUGGUGGCUGAAGUCCUUGGGCUCCUGCCCACUGUGGGGGAGAUCCAGACUGAGCUCCUGGCUCCUGGCUCCAGCCCCAGCUACGGUGGGCAUUGGGAUGGGGUGGGGGACGUAGAAGGGAGAACUGGUGCUCUUCUGCUUCUCACAUAAGUAAUUAAAACUUUUCCCUUUUUAAAGAAAAGUUACUCUCUAGGGGUCUGAGGUGCUGCCUCAUGAGACCAUGCCGGGGAAGAAAUGGAGUCUCCGCCAACAUGCGCUCAGCGCUCAGCUGAUCCCAGGACGUGGCUGAACACCCCCUUCUCACACACCUGACUCACCUGCCGCAGCCGUCUAUAACCUGGUGUUUGCACUCCACACUGUGCUCCUGCUGAGACAAGAAUCUAAGCGUUCACGGGUCGGUAAAGCCCAGGAUGACCGCAAGGGGGCGGGGCAGAGUCCGGCGGGGACACACCAGGGAGAGCGGGCAGCACUAGGGCCUGGGCUCCAGGUCCUGACGGCUUCUGAACCCCCACCCACCUCACCCCGUGAAGGGGGACCCCGGAACAAAGGCGGCCCACGAGCAGAGCCUCCCCUUGGGCACAUGGGACCCUGUCUGCCGCACUCAGUACCUGUCUGUGGCUUCUCUGAUCUUGGGACAAAAGCUGGGGCAGAGACCAACACUGUGGCGCGGUGGGCUGUCUCCACCUGCAGCACCGCCAUCCCAUAUGGGCACCGGUUCGAGUCCUGGCUACUCCACUUCUGAUCUAGCUCUCUGCUGUGGCCUGGAGAAGCAGUGGAAGAUGGCCCAAGUCCUUGGGCCCCUGCACCCAUAAAGAAGAAGGUACCGGCUCCUGGCUUUGGAUCAGCACAGCUCCAGCUGUUGUGGCCAUCUGGGGAGUGAACCAGUGGAUGGAAGACUCUCUCUCUCUCUCUCCCUCUCUCUCUCUCUCUCUCUCUCUCUCCUCUCUCUGCCUCUCUUUCUCUCUGUCUGUAACUCAGACUUUCAAACAAAUAAAUAAAUCUUUAAAAACA